UACGAAGGGUGCUAGCGUUGUUCGGAAUUACUGGGCGUAAAGCGCGCGCAGGCGGUUUGUCAAGUCAGAUGUGAAAUCCCGGGGCUUAACUCCGGAACUGCAUUUGAAACUGGCUCACUAGAGAAAGGUAGAGGAGAGUGGAAUUCCCAGUGUAGAGGUGAAAUUCGUAGAUAUUGGGAGGAACACCGGAGGCGAAGGCGGCUCUCUGGACCAUUUCUGACGCUGAGGCGCGAAAGCGUGGGGAGCAAACGGG
RNAcentral lists this ribosomal RNA (253 nucleotides) under uncultured bacterium. RNAcentral's name for it is "partial 16S ribosomal RNA". It matches the Rfam family "Bacterial small subunit ribosomal RNA", at positions 524 to 776 of the family's 1533-position model. The record is from RNAcentral.